GAUGAACGCUGGCGGCGUGCCUAAUACAUGCAAGUCGAGCGAACAGACGAGGAGCUUGCUCCUCUGACGUUAGCGGCGGACGGGUGAGUAACACGUGGAUAACCUACCUAUAAGACUGGGAUAACUUCGGGAAACCGGAGCUAAUACCGGAUAAUAUAUUGAACCGCAUGGUUCAAUAGUGAAAGACGGUUUUGCUGUCACUUAUAGAUGGAUCCGCGCCGCAUUAGCUAGUUGGUAAGGUAACGGCUUACCAAGGCGACGAUGCGUAGCCGACCUGAGAGGGUGAUCGGCCACACUGGAACUGAGACACGGUCCAGACUCCUACGGGAGGCAGCAGUAGGGAAUCUUCCGCAAUGGGCGAAAGUCUGACGGAGCAACGCCGCGUGAGUGAUGAAGGUCUUCGGAUCGUAAAACUCUGUUAUUAGGGAAGAACAAAUGUGUAAGUAACUAUGCACGUCUUGACGGUACCUAAUCAGAAAGCCACGGCUAACUACGUG
Molecule: ribosomal RNA, 497 nt
Filed under: uncultured bacterium
Lineage: Bacteria
Description: partial 16S ribosomal RNA
Rfam family: Bacterial small subunit ribosomal RNA
Source: RNAcentral